CCUGAGUACGACGGAGCACGUGAAAUUCCGUCGGAAUCUGGGAGGACCAUCUCCUAAGGCUAAAUACUCUCUAGUGACCGAUAGUGAACCAGUACCGUGAGGGAAAGGUGAAAAGCACCCCGGAAGGGGAGUGAAAUAGAACCUGAAACCGUGUGCUUACAAGUAGUCAGAGCCCGUUAAUGGGUGAUGGCGUGCCUUUUGUAGAAUGAACCGGCGAGUUACGAUUUGAUGCAAGGUUAAGCAGUAAAUGUGGAGCCGUAGCGAAAGCGAGUCUGAAUAGGGCGUUUAGUAUUUGGUCGUAGACCCGAAACCAGGUGAUCUACCCUUGGUCAGGUUGAAGUUCAGGUAACACUGAAUGGAGGACCGAACCGACUUACGUUGAAAAGUGAGCGGAUGAACUGAGGGUAGCGGAGAAAUUCCAAUCGAACCUGGAGAUAGCUGGUUCUCUCCGAAAUAGCUUUAGGGCUAGCCUCAAGUGAUGAUUAUUGGAGGUAGAGCACUGUUUGGACGAGGGGCCCCUCUCGGGUUACCGAAUUCAGACAAACUCCGAAUGCCAAUUAAUUUAACUUGGGAGUCAGAACAUGGGUGAUAAGGUCCGUGUUCGAAAGGGAAACAGCCCAGACCACCAGCUAAGGUCCCAAAAUAUAUGUUAAGUGGAAAAGGAUGUGGCGUUGCCCAGACAACUAGGAUGUUGGCUUAGAAGCAGCCAUCAUUUAAAGAGUGCGUAAUAGCUCACUAGUCGAGU
RNAcentral lists this ribosomal RNA (745 nucleotides) under Staphylococcus aureus. RNAcentral's name for it is "partial 23S ribosomal RNA". It matches the Rfam family "Bacterial large subunit ribosomal RNA", at positions 407 to 1154 of the family's 2925-position model. Lineage: Bacteria; Bacillati; Bacillota; Bacilli; Caryophanales; Staphylococcaceae. The record is from RNAcentral.